GAUGAACGCUAGCGGGAGGCUUAACACAUGCAAGUCGAGGGGUAUAGGUAGCAAUACUUAGAGACCGGCGGACGGGUGCGUAACGCGUAUGCAACCUGCCUUAUACCGGGGGAUAGCCCGUGGAAACGCGGAUUAACACCCCAUAUGACAUCAGAUUCGCAUGGGAAUGAUGUUAAAACUGAGGUGGUAUAAGAUGGGCAUGCGUCUGAUUAGCUAGUUGGUAAGGUAACGGCUUACCAAGGCGACGAUCAGUAGGGGUUCUGAGAGGAUAAUCCCCCACACUGGUACUGAGACACGGACCAGACUCCUACGGGAGGCUG
RNAcentral lists this ribosomal RNA (320 nucleotides) under uncultured Bacteroidota bacterium. Its description in RNAcentral is "bacterial SSU rRNA". It matches the Rfam family "Bacterial small subunit ribosomal RNA", at positions 28 to 351 of the family's 1533-position model. The record is from RNAcentral. Lineage: Bacteria; Pseudomonadati; Bacteroidota.